Amphibalanus amphitrite is the source of this 1775-nucleotide long non-coding RNA. RefSeq lists it as uncharacterized. The record is from RefSeq and is a predicted model, not a curated record. The transcript has 2 exons. Lineage: Eukaryota; Metazoa; Arthropoda; Thecostraca; Balanomorpha; Balanidae.
UGGCGCCAGCCAGAUUUGGUGCAUUGUGGUACUUGUCCGUGUUGCAUUAUCCUUUUCCGGCCUGUCUGAUUUACCUAUGCCUUUGGUUUACAUGUUGUUCUGUUUUGUCAUCACUCCCCGCCCUCUAGCCGGGUUUGUUGCGUCAGAAUUCUGGCAGCUUUAGAGAUGCGCGUCGAGCGAGGCGGAUAAAAUGUAUAGAAGGCGUGUGUUUUCUGCCGAGAUAUUGAAGAUUUAACCAUGAGAAAUAUUAUUGUAUUCGUCGCGUGGAUUUGGAAUGCCAAACAUGCUUAAUUUGAUAUUUGUGCGAGUGAUGGUGAAAUCUCGGUACGUGUCAGUGUGCGACACUAUUUCGCUCUUUUCGGCGGGUGCGUCUGGCCCGAGAGGUUGUGUCGGCUGCGGUGCUGGUUUUGGACAGAAGGUGGGUGGAUAUUGAUCGAUGAUUGUCGUAAAUUUGUUGCUAAAGGAAUGUUGAUUGCUUUGCCAGGCGUUAGAUUUAUUUUGCAUACGUAUUUCGGUAGUUAUAAUAUGCUCAUAGGACGGCAUGGGAUUUCGCCUCAGGUGCGUCAUUUUGCAGUGUGUUCUGUUUGUAUAGGUGCCCGGGGAGGAGCUCGGCCUGUGCGAGCCCGGUUUUCCCCGUGGCUGAGUGCGCCGUGUGACGAGGCUGCGGUACGAGGUCGGCCGCGGCACGAGGUCGGCCGCGGCACGGGGUCGGCCGCGGCACGAGGUCGGCCGCCGGGAGGUCGGCCGGCGCGAGCCUGCUGCGGUGCGAGGUCGGCCGCUGAGAUAAGGGCGUGGAGACCCUUACAGCCGGUAGGAUAUGCUUAUUUGUUUAUUAACUUCGAGGUGAUAUUUGUAGGGGAAUUGUGUUAGCUAGAGAGUGGGAAGUGUAAAACGGAAAUUGCUGUUAAAUGUAUUAUUGUUUUCAUUAAAUCUAAACCAACAUAUUUUGUAUGUACUGCGCAGUGCGAGUGUCGAUGUGAGCGCUGGUGGAUUCGUGUCCUAGUAUGCUCGCUGACGCCCUGCUGUGCUCCACAGUAACGAAUCAGUUUAAAUACAACUAUUCAGUCAACGGCGUGGUCUCGACGUGCGUGAGCAGCUGAGCUUGGAGUCGUGGACGCCCGGCGGCGGUCGCCUGUGGCGACUGCUGCACCACAGCGUCGGCUGUGGAAACUACAGUUACGGCUGGGCCUCCGUCUACACUCUGGCUGUGCAGCAACGGCUGGGUCAGCUGCAGCCGGCUGCUGCUGCAACUCCGGGUAACCUGCUGCUUCAGCUGCAUCUAGCUGCGCUUGAUACCGGUGCCCGGGGAGGAGCUCGGCCUGUGCGAGCCCGGUUUUCCCCGUGGCUGAGUGCGCCGUGUGACGAGGCUGCGGUACGAGGUCGGCCGCGGCACGAGGUCGGCCGCGGCACGGGGUCGGCCGCGGCACGAGGUCGGCCGCCGGGAGGUCGGCCGGCGCGAGCCUGCUGCGGUGCGAGGUCGGCCGCUGAGAUAAGGGCGUGGAGACCCUUACAGCCGGUAGGAUAUGCUUAUUUGUUUAUUAACUUCGAGGUGAUAUUUGUAGGGGAAUUGUGUUAGCUAGAGAGUGGGAAGUGUAAAACGGAAAUUGCUGUUAAAUGUAUUAUUGUUUUCAUUAAAUCUAAACCAACAUAUUUUGUAUGUACUGCGCAGUGCGAGUGUCGAUGUGAGCGCUGGUGGAUUCGUGUCCUAGUAUGCUCGCUGACGCCCUGCUGUGCUCCACAGUAACGAAUCAGUUUAAAUACAACUAUUCAGUCAA